RNAcentral lists this unclassified non-coding RNA (398 nucleotides) under uncultured fungus. RNAcentral describes it as "sequence contains ITS1". The stretch from base 1 to 105 matches the Rfam family "5.8S ribosomal RNA", at positions 50 to 154 of the family's 154-position model. The record is from RNAcentral. Lineage: Eukaryota; Fungi.
GAAAUGCGAUAAGUAAUGUGAAUUGCAGAAUUCAGUGAAUCAUCGAAUCUUUGAACGCAUAUUGCGCUCCUCGGUUUUCCGGGGAGCAUGCCUGUUUGAGUAUUGGUAUAAUGGGUGAUCUUCCUUCGAAUUUCGAAGUAAAAAUCUUUAAAACCCUAUUGAGACGUCUUGGCAAUCUUUUUUGACGAGUGUCUUUAAAUUCAGAAUGAUCCGUGUUUUAGUACAAGACAAACAUGCGGGAAGUAAUAUCAGCGCUGUUACAGGUGGUUUUAUACUUGUUUCUUGGUUGUUUAACUACUAGAAUGUGGCAUUGAAUGUUGUUGAAGUCGACAUUCAUUGGUUCUUAAAAGGAACAAAAUCUCAAUCUCAAAUCAGGUAGGAUUACCCGCUGAACUUAA